AUACAUGCAGUCGAACGCUUCUUUUUCCACCGGAGCUUGCUCCACCGGAAAAAGAGGAGUGGCGAACGGGUGAGUAACACGUGGGUAACCUGCCCAUCAGAAGGGGAUAACACUUGGAAACAGGUGCUAAUACCGUAUAACAAUCGAAACCGCAUGGUUUUGAUUUGAAAGGCGCUUUCGGGUGUCGCUGAUGGAUGGACCCGCGGUGCAUUAGCUAGUUGGUGAGGUAACGGCUCACCAAGGCGACGAUGCAUAGCCGACCUGAGAGGGUGAUCGGCCACAUUGGGACUGAGACACGGCCCAAACUCCUACGGGAGGCAGCAGUAGGGAAUCUUCGGCAAUGGACGAAAGUCUGACCGAGCAACGCCGCGUGAGUGAAGAAGGUUUUCGGAUCGUAAAACUCUGUUGUUAGAGAAGAACAAGGAUGAGAGUAACUGUUCAUCCCUUGACGGUAUCUAACCAGAAAGCCACGGCUAACUACGUGCCAGCAGCCGCGGUAAUACGUAGGUGGCAAGCGUUGUCCGGAUUUAUUGGGCGUAAAGCGAGCGCAGGCGGUUUCUUAAGUCUGAUGUGAAAGCCCCCGGCUCAACCGGGGAGGGUCAUUGGAAACUGGGAGACUUGAGUGCAGAAGAGGAGAGUGGAAUUCCAUGUGUAGCGGUGAAAUGCGUAGAUAUAUGGAGGAACACCAGUGGCGAAGGCGGCUCUCUGGUCUGUAACUGACGCUGAGGCUCGAAAGCGUGCGGAGCAGACAGGAUUAGAUACCCUGGUAGUCCACGCCGUACACGAUGAGUGCUAAGUGUUGGAGGGUUUCCGCCCUUCAGUGCUGCAGCUAACGCAUUAAGCACUCCGCCUGGGGAGUACGACCGCAAGGUUGAGACUCAAAGGAAUUGACGGGGGCCCGCACAAGCGAUGGAGCAUGUGGUUUAAUUCGAAGCAACGCGAAGAACCUUACCAGGUCUUGACAUCCUUUGACCACUCUAUAGAUAAAGCUUCGCCUUCGGGCGCAAAGUGACAGUGGUGCAUGGUUGUCGUCAGCUCAUGUCUUGAGAUGGUGAGUUAAGUCUCGCAACCAGCGCAGCCUUAGUGUAAAUUUCAUUGGUUAGUUGGGAAAUCUACGGGACGGCCGCGACAAAAGGGGGGGGGGGGGGGUGAGGGGGGGGGGGAGCCCCCCUACGCGGGGGGCCCCA
This 1187-nucleotide ribosomal RNA is filed under the name Enterococcus hirae. Its description in RNAcentral is "partial 16S ribosomal RNA". It matches the Rfam family "Bacterial small subunit ribosomal RNA", at positions 51 to 1220 of the family's 1533-position model. Lineage: Bacteria; Bacillati; Bacillota; Bacilli; Lactobacillales; Enterococcaceae. The record is from RNAcentral.